UGGGGAAUAUUGCGCAAUGGGCGAAAGCCUGACGCAGCGACGCCGCGUGAGGGAUGAAGGUUUUCGGAUCGUAAACCUCUGUCAGAAGGGAAGAAACCGCACUGUGCUAAUCAGCAGUGCCUUGACGGUACCUUCAAAGGAAGCACCGGCUAACUCCGUGCCAGCAGCCGCGGUAAUACGGAGGGUGCAAGCGUUAAUCGGAAUUACUGGGCGUAAAGCGCACGUAGGCUGCUUUGUAAGUCAGGGGUGAAAUCCCACGGCUCAACCGAGGAACUGCCUUUGAUACUGCUUAGCUUGAAUCCGGGAGAGGGUGGCGGAAUUCCAGGUGUAGGAGUGAAAUCCGUAGAUAUCUGGAGGAACAUCAGUGGCGAAGGCGGCCACCUGGACCGGUAUUGACGCUGAGGUGCGAAAGCGUGGGGAGCAAACAGG
RNAcentral lists this ribosomal RNA (429 nucleotides) under Fusobacteriota bacterium. RNAcentral describes it as "Fusobacteria bacterium partial 16S ribosomal RNA". It matches the Rfam family "Bacterial small subunit ribosomal RNA", at positions 355 to 776 of the family's 1533-position model. Lineage: Bacteria; Fusobacteriati; Fusobacteriota. The record is from RNAcentral.